AGUUAUCACCUUCUCUCCCCUUUUUCACCGGCCAAAAACCCUCCUUCUGGGUGGGCAGAAACCAAUUCCUCCUACCUUUUCGCCAGAAAGCCAACUCACGCUUUCCACUCAGUCUGAGUCACAUGAUCUAACUCAGUCUUAGCCAGAAACCCCUCCUGCCUUUUCCUAGGCAUAAACCAAUGCUUUCCUCCUUUUUGCCAGAAACCCCUCUUUCAGCCUGAAACCAAUGUAGGAUGGGAUAGUCACACUAAAAAAGCAGUGAAAGCGUAGAACUAGAACGAAAUAGGCAAACAAUCAAGUCAGCCAACGGGUGAAUCCCUUUCCUUACACAAGAAACUACCAUUGAGAAAAAGACAGUAAUUUGGUUUCAGUUAGUCGGUGUAAUUCGGUUUCAGUUGAAAAAACAGUUAGUCGGAUAAGAUUUAGAAGUAGACAAAAGAAUACUACUCUAGUAUAAAGCCAGUUCCUUUCCUGAUUUGGUGCAGCAGUGAUCAACUCUUCGAUCGAAGGUUCAUCCGUGGUUCGAUUGAGCUGAUUUU
Molecule: long non-coding RNA, 539 nt
Filed under: Gossypium barbadense (sea-island cotton)
Lineage: Eukaryota; Viridiplantae; Streptophyta; Magnoliopsida; Malvales; Malvaceae
Description: long non-coding RNA (GBAR_LNC009994)
Source: RNAcentral